RNAcentral lists this unclassified non-coding RNA (330 nucleotides) under soil metagenome. RNAcentral describes it as "partial contains 5.8S ribosomal RNA, internal transcribed spacer 2, and large subunit ribosomal RNA". The stretch from base 1 to 120 matches the Rfam family "5.8S ribosomal RNA", at positions 35 to 154 of the family's 154-position model. The record is from RNAcentral.
GAUGAAGAACGCAGCGAAAUGCGAUAAGUAAUGUGAAUUGCAGAAUUCAGUGAAUCAUCGAAUCUUUGAACGCACAUUGCGCCCCCUGGUAUUCCGGGGGGCAUGCCUGUCCGAGCGUCAUUACAACCCUCAAGCUCAGCUUGGUGUUGGGCCCCGCCGCCCCGGCGGGCCCUAAAGUCAGUGGCGGUGCCGUCCGGCUCCGAGCGUAGUAAUUCUUCUCGCUCUGGAGGUCCGGUCGUGUGCUCGCCAGCAACCCCCAAUUUUUUUCAGGUUGACCUCGGAUCAGGUAGGGAUACCCGCUGAACUUAGGCAUAUCAAUAAGCGGAGGGA